Molecule: ribosomal RNA, 661 nt
Filed under: uncultured bacterium
Lineage: Bacteria
Description: bacterial SSU rRNA
Rfam family: Bacterial small subunit ribosomal RNA
Source: RNAcentral
AAUUUCCAUGAACGCUGGCGGCAUGCCUUACACAUGCAAGUCGAACGGCAGCACGGAGCUUGCUCUGGUGGCGAGUGGCGAACGGGUGAGUAAUAUAUCGGAACGUACCCUGGAGUGGGGGAUAACGUAGCGAAAGUUACGCUAAUACCGCAUACGAUCUACGGAUGAAAGUGGGGGAUCGCAAGACCUCAUGCUCGUGGAGCGGCCGAUAUCUGAUUAGCUAGUUGGUAGGGUAAAAGCCUACCAAGGCAUCGAUCAGUAGCUGGUCUGAGAGGACGACCAGCCACACUGGAACUGAGACACGGUCCAGACUCCUACGGGAGGCAGCAGUGGGGAAUUUUGGACAAUGGGCGAAAGCCUGAUCCAGCAAUGCCGCGUGAGUGAAGAAGGCCUUCGGGUUGUAAAGCUCUUUUGUCAGGGAAGAAACGGUGAGGGCUAAUAUCCCUUGCUAAUGACGGUACCUGAAGAAUAAGCACCGGCUAACUACGUGCCAGCAGCCGCGGUAAUACGUAGGGUGCAAGCGUUAAUCGGAAUUACUGGGCGUAAAGCGUGCGCAGGCGGUUUUGUAAGUCUGAUGUGAAAUCCCCGGGCUCAACCUGGGAAUUGCAUUGGAGACUGCAAGGCUAGAGUCUGGCAAGAGGGGGGUAGAAUUCCCCUUGUU